Molecule: ribosomal RNA, 914 nt
Filed under: uncultured beta proteobacterium
Lineage: Bacteria; Pseudomonadati; Pseudomonadota; Betaproteobacteria
Description: bacterial SSU rRNA
Rfam family: Bacterial small subunit ribosomal RNA
Source: RNAcentral
AGAGUUUGAUCCUGGCUCAGAUUGAACGCUGGCGGCAUGCCUUACACAUGCAAGUCGAACGGCAGCACGGGCUUCGGUCUGGUGGCGAGUGGCGAACGGGUGAGUAAUGUAUCGGAACGUACCUUUCAGUGGGGGAUAACGUAGCGAAAGUUACGCUAAUACCGCAUAUUCUGUGAGCAGGAAAGCAGGGGAUCGCAAGACCUUGCGCUGAUUGAGCGGCCGAUAUCAGAUUAGCUAGUUGGUGAGGUAAAGGCUCACCAAGGCGACGAUCUGUAGCGGGUCUGAGAGGAUGAUCCGCCACACUGGAACUGAGACACGGUCCAGACUCCUACGGGAGGCAGCAGUGGGGAAUUUUGGACAAUGGGGGCAACCCUGAUCCAGCCAUGCCGCGUGAGUGAAGAAGGCCUUCGGGUUGUAAAGCUCUUUCGGCCGGGAAGAAAUCGCAUAGGUUAAUACCCUGUGUGGAUGACGGUACCGGAAUAAGAAGCACCGGCUAACUACGUGCCAGCAGCCGCGGUAAUACGUAGGGUGCGAGCGUUAAUCGGAAUUACUGGGCGUAAAGCGUGCGCAGGCGGUUUCGUAAGACAGAGGUGAAAUCCCCGGGCUCAACCUGGGAACUGCCUUUGUGACUGCGAAGCUAGAGUACGGCAGAGGGGGGUGGAAUUCCACGUGUAGCAGUGAAAUGCGUAGAGAUGUGGAGGAACACCAAUGGCGAAGGCAGCCCCCUGGGUCGAUACUGACGCUCAUGCACGAAAGCGUGGGUAGCAAACAGGAUUAGAUACCCUGGUAGUCCACGCCCUAAACGAUGUCAACUAGGUGUUGGGUGGGUAAAACCAUUUAGUACCGGAGCUAACGCGUGAAGUUGACCGCCUGGGGAGUACGGCCGCAAGGUUAAAACUCAAAGGAAUUGACGG